UCCCUGGUGGCUCAGACGGUAAAGCAUCUGCCUGCAAUGCAGGAGACUCGGGUUUGAUUCCUGGAUCGGGAA
Ovis aries (sheep) is the source of this 72-nucleotide transfer RNA. It matches the Rfam family "tRNA". Rfam says of the family: Transfer RNA (tRNA) molecules are approximately 80 nucleotides in length. Their secondary structure includes four short double-helical elements and three loops (D, anti-codon, and T loops). Further hydrogen bonds mediate the characteristic L-shaped molecular structure. tRNAs have two regions of fundamental functional importance: the anti-codon, which is responsible for specific mRNA codon recognition, and the 3' end, to which the tRNAs corresponding amino acid is attached (by aminoacyl-tRNA synthetases). tRNAs cope with the degeneracy of the genetic code in two manners: having more than one tRNA (with a specific anti-codon) for a particular amino acid; and 'wobble' base-pairing, i.e. permitting non-standard base-pairing at the 3rd anti-codon position. Lineage: Eukaryota; Metazoa; Chordata; Mammalia; Artiodactyla; Bovidae. The record is from Rfam.